GUGUCUUCCGGGUGCGGCUCGGGGCACCUCCCACCCGUGUUGCCCGAACCUAUGUUGCCUCGGCGGGCCCCGCGCCCGCCGACGGCCCCCCUGAACGCUGUCUGAAGUUGCAGUCUGAGACCUAUAACGAAAUUAGUUAAAACUUUCAACAACGGAUCUCUUGGUUCCGGCAUCGAUGAAGAACGCAGCGAAAUGCGAUAACUAAUGUGAAUUGCAGAAUUCAGUGAAUCAUCGAGUCUUUGAACGCACAUUGCGCCCUCUGGUAUUCCGGAGGGCAUGCCUGUCCGAGCGUCAUUGCUGCCCUCAAGCCCGGCUUGUGUGUUGGGCCCCGUCCCCCCCGCCGGGGGGACGGGCCCGAAAGGCAGCGGCGGCACCGCGUCCGGUCCUCGAGCGUAUGGGGCUUCGUCACCCGCUCUAGUAGGCCCGGCCGGCGCCAGCCGACCCCCAACCUUUAAUUAUCUCAGGUUGACCUCGGAUCAGGUAGGGAUACCCGCUGAACUUAAGCAUAUCAAAA
RNAcentral lists this ribosomal RNA (514 nucleotides) under Penicillium citrinum. Its description in RNAcentral is "eukaryotic LSU rRNA". The stretch from base 141 to 294 matches the Rfam family "5.8S ribosomal RNA". Lineage: Eukaryota; Fungi; Ascomycota; Eurotiomycetes; Eurotiales; Aspergillaceae. The record is from RNAcentral.